RNAcentral lists this ribosomal RNA (451 nucleotides) under uncultured bacterium. RNAcentral's name for it is "partial 16S ribosomal RNA". It matches the Rfam family "Bacterial small subunit ribosomal RNA", at positions 28 to 507 of the family's 1533-position model. The record is from RNAcentral.
AGCGAACGCUGGCGGCAUGCCUAACACAUGCAAGUCGCACGGGGGGGCUUCGGCCUCCCAGUGGCGGACGGGUGAGGAACGCGUAGGGACCUGUCGAGGGGUGGGGGAUAACCGCGGGAAACUGCGGCUAAUACCGCAUGACGCCGCGGCGUGACAGCCGGGGCCAAAGGCGAAAGCCGCCCGCCGAGGGGCCUGCGUCCGAUUAGCUGGUUGGCGGGGUAGCGGCCCACCAAGGCGUCGAUCGGUAGCUGGUCUGAGGGGGUGAUCAGCCACACCGGGACUGAGACACGGCCCGGACUCCUACGGGAGGCAGCAGUGGGGAAUAUUGGACAAUGGGCGCAAGCCUGAUCCAGCAAUGCCGCGUGGGUGAAGAAGGUCUUCGGAUUGUAAAGCCCUUUCGGCGGGGACGAUGGUGACGGUACCCGCAGAAGAAGCCCCGGCUAACUUCGUG